This 1388-nucleotide ribosomal RNA is filed under the name Leuconostoc citreum. RNAcentral describes it as "bacterial SSU rRNA". It matches the Rfam family "Bacterial small subunit ribosomal RNA", at positions 65 to 1439 of the family's 1533-position model. The record is from RNAcentral. Lineage: Bacteria; Bacillati; Bacillota; Bacilli; Lactobacillales; Lactobacillaceae.
CGCAGCGAGAGGUGCUUGCACCUUUCAAGCGAGUGGCGAACGGGUGAGUAACACGUGGAUAACCUGCCUCAAGGCUGGGGAUAACAUUUGGAAACAGAUGCUAAUACCGAAUAAAACUUAGUAUCGCAUGAUAUCAAGUUAAAAGGCGCUACGGCGUCACCUAGAGAUGGAUCCGCGGUGCAUUAGUUAGUUGGUGGGGUAAAGGCUUACCAAGACGAUGAUGCAUAGCCGAGUUGAGAGACUGAUCGGCCACAUUGGGACUGAGACACGGCCCAAACUCCUACGGGAGGCUGCAGUAGGGAAUCUUCCACAAUGGGCGCAAGCCUGAUGGAGCAACGCCGCGUGUGUGAUGAAGGCUUUCGGGUCGUAAAGCACUGUUGUAUGGGAAGAAAUGCUAAAAUAGGGAAUGAUUUUAGUUUGACGGUACCAUACCAGAAAGGGACGGCUAAAUACGUGCCAGCAGCCGCGGUAAUACGUAUGUCCCGAGCGUUAUCCGGAUUUAUUGGGCGUAAAGCGAGCGCAGACGGUUGAUUAAGUCUGAUGUGAAAGCCCGGAGCUCAACUCCGGAAUGGCAUUGGAAACUGGUUAACUUGAGUGUUGUAGAGGUAAGUGGAACUCCAUGUGUAGCGGUGGAAUGCGUAGAUAUAUGGAAGAACACCAGUGGCGAAGGCGGCUUACUGGACAACAACUGACGUUGAGGCUCGAAAGUGUGGGUAGCAAACAGGAUUAGAUACCCUGGUAGUCCACACCGUAAACGAUGAAUACUAGGUGUUAGGAGGUUUCCGCCUCUUAGUGCCGAAGCUAACGCAUUAAGUAUUCCGCCUGGGGAGUACGACCGCAAGGUUGAAACUCAAAGGAAUUGACGGGGACCCGCACAAGCGGUGGAGCAUGUGGUUUAAUUCGAAGCAACGCGAAGAACCUUACCAGGUCUUGACAUCCUUUGAAGCUUUUAGAGAUAGAAGUGUUCUCUUCGGAGACAAAGUGACAGGUGGUGCAUGGUCGUCGUCAGCUCGUGUCGUGAGAUGUUGGGUUAAGUCCCGCAACGAGCGCAACCCUUAUUGUUAGUUGCCAGCAUUCAGUUGGGCACUCUAGCGAGACUGCCGGUGACAAACCGGAGGAAGGCGGGGACGACGUCAGAUCAUCAUGCCCCUUAUGACCUGGGCUACACACGUGCUACAAUGGCGUAUACAACGAGUUGCCAACCUGCGAAGGUGAGCUAAUCUCUUAAAGUACGUCUCAGUUCGGACUGCAGUCUGCAACUCGACUGCACGAAGUCGGAAUCGCUAGUAAUCGCGGAUCAGCACGCCGCGGUGAAUACGUUCCCGGGUCUUGUACACACCGCCCGUCACACCAUGGGAGUUUGUAAUGCCCAAAGCCGGUGGCCUAAC